UACGAAGGAUCCAAGCGUUAUCCGGAUUUAUUGGGUUUAAAGGGUGCGUAGGCGGCUUAUUAAGUCAGUGGUGAAAGCCUGCAGCUUAACUGCAGAACUGCCAUUGAUACUGAUGAGCUUGAGUAUAGUUGAGGUGGGCGGAAUGUGUCAUGUAGCGGUGAAAUGCUUAGAUAUGACACAGAACACCGAUUGCGAAGGCAGCUCGCUAAACUAUAACUGACGCUGAGGCACGAAAGCGUGGGGAGCGAACAGG
Molecule: non-coding RNA, 253 nt
Filed under: uncultured bacterium
Lineage: Bacteria
Also listed under: 1 other name
Description: partial 16S ribosomal RNA
Rfam family: Bacterial small subunit ribosomal RNA
Source: RNAcentral